This 452-nucleotide ribosomal RNA is filed under the name uncultured bacterium. RNAcentral describes it as "bacterial SSU rRNA". It matches the Rfam family "Bacterial small subunit ribosomal RNA", at positions 8 to 507 of the family's 1533-position model. The record is from RNAcentral.
AGAGUUUGAUCAUGGCUCAGAGCGAACGCUGGCGGCAGGCCUAACACAUGCAAGUCGAGCGCCCAGCAAUGGGAGCGGCAGACGGGUGAGUAACACGUGGGAACCUUCCCUAUAGUACGGAAUAGCCCAGGGAAACUUGGAGUAAUACCGCAUACGCCCGAGAGGGGAAAGAUUUAUCGCUAUAGGAUGGGCCCGCGUAGGAUUAGCUAGUUGGUGAGGUAAUGGCUCACCAAGGCGACGAUCCUUAGCUGGUCUGAGAGGACGACCAGCCACACUGGGACUGAGACACGGCCCAGACUCCUACGGGAGGCAGCAGGUGGGGAAUAUUGGACAAUGGGCGCAAGCCUGAUCCAGCCAUGCCGCGUGAGUGAUGAAGGCCUUAGGGUUGUAAAGCUUCUUUGCCGGGGACGAUAAUGACGGUACCCGGAGAAUAAGUCCCGGCUAACUUCGUG